RNAcentral lists this long non-coding RNA (476 nucleotides) under Medicago truncatula (barrel medic). Its description in RNAcentral is "lncRNA gene14152". Lineage: Eukaryota; Viridiplantae; Streptophyta; Magnoliopsida; Fabales; Fabaceae. The record is from RNAcentral.
GAGAUUGGUGAUUAACUCCUUGAUUUGUUGAUGGUUUCAAAGAUGGCGAAUGCACAUGCAAGAGCAUAAGAAAAAUUUUCCUGUGAUUUUGUUGUUCCUUGAACAUACACUUCUAGAUCCAACAACAGCCAUGGUGGAACAAUUAUUGUCUCUUCCUCAAUGCUGAAGAGAUCUUCAGAAUCCAAAGCAUGAUUGUUAUCAUUUUCCUUACUUUCUUUGUCAUCACUAUUUAAAGUGGAAACAUCAGCAGUAGCUUCACGGUAUCGCUCUAAUAUUAUGUUACGAGGAUGAAGAUUCUUCAGAGGAUGACCAUCCUUAUUGGGGAUUGAAAGACUUUCUACCCUAAUUACAAGAUACUUAGAGUUGCAGUCUACAUAUUUGGAUUGAUUAUGAACUCGUGUUGUGUGAUUUUAUGAUGAGCUUAUGUUGAGUUGUGUGUUAUGCAUUGGAUCAUGACUUAUGAUUAUGAAUAUUCU